This 253-nucleotide ribosomal RNA is filed under the name uncultured bacterium. RNAcentral's name for it is "partial 16S ribosomal RNA". It matches the Rfam family "Bacterial small subunit ribosomal RNA", at positions 524 to 776 of the family's 1533-position model. The record is from RNAcentral.
UACAGAGGGUGCGAGCGUUGUCCGGAAUCACUGGGCGUAAAGGGCGCGUAGGCGGCCUGAUAAGUAGGGGGUGAAAUCCUGCAGCUUAACUGCAGGGCUGCCUCCUAAACUGUUGGGCUAGAGCACGGUAGAGGCAGAUGGAAUUCCCGGUGUAGCGGUGGAAUGCGUAGAGAUCGGGAAGAACAUCAGUGGCGAAGGCGGUCUGCUGGGCCGUUGCUGACGCUGAGGCGCGACAGCGUGGGGAGCAAACAGG